UACGUGAGGGGCGAACGUUGUUCGGUUUCACUGGGCUUAAAGGGUGCGUAGGUGGUUUCGUAAGUAAGGUGUGAAAGCCCUCGGCUUACCCGGGGAAUUGCGCCUUAUACUGCGAGACUUGAGGAUUUCAGGGGAAUGGGGAACUCCAGGUGUAGCGGUGAAAUGCGCAGAUAUCUGGGGGAAGGCCGGCGGCGAAGGCGCCAUUCUGGGAAAUUCCUGACACUGAGGCACGAAAGCGUGGGGAGCAAACAGG
This 253-nucleotide ribosomal RNA is filed under the name uncultured bacterium. RNAcentral's name for it is "partial 16S ribosomal RNA". It matches the Rfam family "Bacterial small subunit ribosomal RNA", at positions 524 to 776 of the family's 1533-position model. The record is from RNAcentral.